CCCUGAACAGAAGAACUUUUGGAUCCCAAAAUAGGCUUUUGGUUAGAUUGUAAAAGAAUGAGCUUUUAUGUGAAGCUACUCCAGGUGUGCCUAUCAGAAAAAGUAAAAAAAAAAAAGAAGAAGAAGAAGAAACACUGCAUGCAUGUGCCAACCUGCAGUACAUAAGCACCUGUACACACAACCUUGAAUCCUUAAAGGACCUCCAGCCAACCCACAUGUAAAGUCUGAUGUCAUGUUACAGUAGGGAUCUAACUGCAUAAUAAACUGAGGACAUGCACUUAUUUAAGCCCCAGGAAAAAUGUCUGAGUUUGCUUGAGGAACCUUUCAUUCAUUAAAGACGGUUAAUAAUCAAACAGCUUUGCUGGUUACAUGUGACAUUUAAAAUGAUUUAAAGUUUAAAAGACUGAACAUCUAAUUUUCGUACUUUUGCAGACAUGGCAGUGCUGUGAUUUUUAUCUUUCUAGUCGAUGUCUGGAUCCUCAGCCUUGGGUGAG
Oreochromis aureus is the source of this 494-nucleotide long non-coding RNA. RefSeq lists it as uncharacterized. Lineage: Eukaryota; Metazoa; Chordata; Actinopteri; Cichliformes; Cichlidae. The transcript has 3 exons. The record is from RefSeq and is a predicted model, not a curated record.